AACGAACGCUGGCGGCGGGGUUUAGGCAUGCAAGUCGAGCGAGAAAGGGGCAACCCGAGUAAAGCGGCGUAAGGGUGAGUAAUAGGUAGUUCACGUAUCCUGCAGACGCGGAUAAUUUCCCGAAAGGGAUUGUAAUACGCGAUGAGACCACAGCUGAUCCGUCAGCCGGGGUCAAAGGUUCGGGAUCCUUCGGGACCGAGCGCUGUUUGAGCGGACGACCUCCGAUUAGCUAGAUGGCGGGGAACGGCCCACCAUGGCGAUGAUCGGUAGCCGGCCUGAGAGGGU
Molecule: ribosomal RNA, 285 nt
Filed under: uncultured bacterium
Lineage: Bacteria
Description: partial 16S ribosomal RNA
Rfam family: Bacterial small subunit ribosomal RNA
Source: RNAcentral